This 414-nucleotide ribosomal RNA is filed under the name Sulfitobacter sp. RNAcentral describes it as "bacterial SSU rRNA". It matches the Rfam family "Bacterial small subunit ribosomal RNA", at positions 505 to 916 of the family's 1533-position model. Lineage: Bacteria; Pseudomonadati; Pseudomonadota; Alphaproteobacteria; Rhodobacterales; Roseobacteraceae. The record is from RNAcentral.
GUGCCAGCAGCCGCGGUAAUACGGAGGGGGUUAGCGUUGUUCGGAAUUACUGGGCGUAAAGCGUACGUAGGCGGAUCAGAAAGUUGGGGGUGAAAUCCCGGGGCUCAACCCCGGAACUGCCUCCAAAACUCCUGGUCUUGAGUUCGAGAGAGGUGAGUGGAAUUCCAAGUGUAGAGGUGAAAUUCGUAGAUAUUUGGAGGAACACCAGUGGCGAAGGCGGCUCACUGGCUCGAUACUGACGCUGAGGUACGAAAGUGUGGGGAGCAAACAGGAUUAGAUACCCUGGUAGUCCACACCGUAAACGAUGAAUGCCAGUCGUCGGGCAGUAUACUGUUUCGGUGACACACCUAACGGAUUAAGCAUUCCGCCUGGGAGAGUACGGGUCGCAAGAUUAAAACUCAAAGGAAUUGACGG